GACGAACGCUGGCGGCGUGCCUAAUACAUGCAAGUUGAGCGCUGAAGGUUGGUACUUGUACCAACUGGAUGAGCAGCGAACGGGUGAGUAACGCGUGGGGAAUCUGCCUUUGAGCGGGGGACAACAUUUGGAAACGAAUGCUAAUACCGCAUAAAAACUUUAAACACAAGUUUUAAGUUUGAAAGAUGCAAUUGCAUCACUCAAAGAUGAUCCCGCGUUGUAUUAGCUAGUUGGUGAGGUAAAGGCUCACCAAGGCGAUGAUACAUAGCCGACCUGAGAGGGUGAUCGGCCACAUUGGGACUGAGACACGGCCCAAACUCCUACGGGAGGCAGCAGUAGGGAAUCUUCGGCAAUGGACGAAAGUCUGACCGAGCAACGCCGCGUGAGUGAAGAAGGGUUUCGGAUCGUAAAACCCUGUUGGUAGAGAAGAACGUUGGUGAGAGUGGAAAGCUCAUCAAGUGACGGUAACUACCCAGAAAGGGACGGCUAACUACGUG
Molecule: ribosomal RNA, 497 nt
Filed under: uncultured bacterium
Lineage: Bacteria
Description: partial 16S ribosomal RNA
Rfam family: Bacterial small subunit ribosomal RNA
Source: RNAcentral